GUUUUUCGCUGAAGACGUCGGCCCAAACAAAGGCGCAAUAAUCGGUCUGAUGGUCGGAGGCGUCGUCAUCGCCACCGUCAUCGUCAUCACUCUGGUGAUGCUGAGGAAGAAACAGUACACGUCCAUACACCACGGAGUCAUCGAGGUGGACGCUGCCGUGACCCCAGAAGAGCGCCACCUGUCGAAGAUGCAGCAGAACGGCUACGAGAACCCCACCUACAAGUUCUUUGAGCAAAUGCAAAACUGAAGAAACGAAAAUCAGAAAAAUCUACAACAAGCACACGAGACAUGUUUAAAAUCAUCUCCUCCUCUUCCUCCCCCCGGCCCCAAAUUCUCCUGAAAAAUGGGUCCCACUUCAAAUAUGUUUUCAGUGAUUAAACAGUCCGGAUAAAUCCAGGUUUGGACCUAGAUUAGACCUGGUUUAGACCUAGACCUGGUUUAGAUCUGGUUUUAGACCGAGUUUUAGACCUGGUUUAGACCUGGUUUAGACCUAGUUUAGUCCUAAUUUAGACCUAGUUUGGACCUAGUUUAAACUUGGUUUAGACCUGGUUUAGACCUGAUUUAGACCUGAUUUAGACCUAGUUUUAGACCUGGUUUGGACCUGGUUUGGACCUGGUUUGGACCUGGUUUGGACCUAGUUUAGACCUGGUUGAGUCUGGUUUUAGAUCUAGUUUAGUCCUGGUUUACACCUGGUUCAGACCUGGUUUAGACCAGAUUUAGACCUGGUUUUGACCUAGUUUAGACCUGGUUUAGACCUGGUUGAAUCUUGGUUUAAACCUGCAUUAGGUCUGGUUGAGUCUGGGUUUAAGAUCUAGUUCAGACCUGGUUUAAUCCUGGUCUAGACCUGAUUAAGACUUGGUUGAGUCUCGGUUUAGACCUGGUUUAUUCUAGUUUUAUGCCUCUCGACACUGUGGAAGUCAAGACUGUAUUAUUACGAUUACAAUUUGUAAUUUUAAUUUUAAAAUACCAGUGCCAUACCAAAAUUUAGACUUGAAAUUGUAUUAAAAUUCAGAAAAAUCACCUUCAAAUUUAAAAAUAUUUUCAAAUUAAAAUAAAUCAACCUAAAAUUGCCAAUAAAAUCAUAGAAAAUGUAAAAUGGUGGGAACCCUGUGUAGGCGAUGUAGCUUAUAGCAUCUCUCGCUAGAUAUUUUUCCACUGUUAUUUUUGUAUUUAAUUUUGCCUGGAUUUUGCACCAACUUUUAUUCACUUUAUAAUUUACAGAGAGCUGUUCGGGGUUGUCUACGGCCUGCUGAAAAACGCGCUCGCUCCAAACACAGUUCAGAGAUAGACUUUUGUGUUCGAUGAUUGUCAAAACUAAAAUCUGAAAUGUAGUUUGGACUUUGGCGCUCGUUAAACCGGGGCCAGUUUAUCAAACGUGUCGCGGAGUUGGGAUUAAAACGUAAACAAGGAAGUGCUCGGAAUGUACAGCCAAUCAGAGGGCAGAAAGGAGAAUAAAGCCCGCCUCUUAUUUGGAUAAAUACCUCUGAUUGGACGAUAAAUGUAUUGUAAAUUUAUUGUUGAGAAAAUGGUUCUGAUCUUGGUUUAGACCUGGUUUAGACCAAAGUUAGACCUGGUUUAGACCAAGGUUAGACCUGGUUUAGAGCUGCCCAGUUUAGUCCAAGGUUAGACUUGAUUUAGUCCUAUUAUAGACCAAUUUUGGACCUUGUUUAGUCCUAACUAAAUCUUGGUUUAGUCUUUGUUUAUAUCUGGUAGCGUCCGGGGUCAGACCAGGUUUAGACUUUGAAUUUCCAUCCACAGUUUAGACCUGGUUAAGACCUGGUUUAGUCCUAGUUUAGACCUGGUUUAGACCAAGUUUAGACCAAGGUUAGACCUGAUUUAGUCCUAUUUUAGACCUGGUUAAGACCUGGUUUAGUCCUGGUUAACAUCUGGUAUCGUACAGGGUCAGACCAGGUUUAGACUUUGAAAUUCCAUCCACAGUUUAGACCUGGUUAAGACCUGGUUUGGACCUGGUUCAGUCCUGGCUCAGUACCAAGAUCUUGAAUUGCUCCUCACAGUUUAGACCUGGUUGAGUCCAUACAUAGACCUAUCAAAGACCUAGUUUAGACCUGGUUUAGACCUGGUUUAGAUCUUUUUUGACCACUAUUUUACCAACAAUUUAUUCCAACAAAACACAAAUUAUCCAGACUUGUUUAAAACUGGCCCCGGUCCGUUCCACUACUUGCACUCUACGACACUGGAGACAGCAACCCUUAGCUUCC
This is a long non-coding RNA of Boleophthalmus pectinirostris (great blue-spotted mudskipper), 2219 nucleotides long. RefSeq lists it as uncharacterized. The record is from RefSeq and is a predicted model, not a curated record. The transcript has 3 exons. NCBI's taxonomy places the organism in Eukaryota, Metazoa, Chordata, Actinopteri, Gobiiformes, Gobiidae.